CUAUCCGUCGUGGGCGUAGGAAAUUUGAGAGGAGCUGUCCUUAGUACGAGAGGACCGGGAUGGACAUACCUCUGGUGUACCAGUUGUCGUGCCAACGGCAUAGCUGGGUAGCUAUGUGUGGACGGGAUAAGUGCUGAAAGCAUCUAAGCAUGAAGCCCCCCUCAAGAUGAGAUUUCCCAACUUCGGUUAUAAGAUCCCUCAAAGAUGAUGAGGUUAAUAGGUUCGAGGUGGAAGCAUGGUGACAUGUGGAGCUGACGAAUACUAAUCGAUCGAAGACUUAAUCAA
This 285-nucleotide ribosomal RNA is filed under the name Staphylococcus aureus. RNAcentral describes it as "partial 23S ribosomal RNA". It matches the Rfam family "Bacterial large subunit ribosomal RNA", at positions 2638 to 2925 of the family's 2925-position model. The record is from RNAcentral. Lineage: Bacteria; Bacillati; Bacillota; Bacilli; Caryophanales; Staphylococcaceae.